Scylla paramamosain (green mud crab) is the source of this 10681-nucleotide long non-coding RNA. RefSeq lists it as uncharacterized. Lineage: Eukaryota; Metazoa; Arthropoda; Malacostraca; Decapoda; Portunidae. The record is from RefSeq and is a predicted model, not a curated record. The transcript has 2 exons.
GUGUGUGUGUGUGUAUGUGGAUAAGUCUUCGUGUGCGUGAGGAGCAGAGGGGGCUGGGUGCAGAAAGGGAAACAUUCGUACUGGACGGUGGCCGGGAGAUUACUUCACCUGCACGAGUGGCGGGUCAAAUUGUCCUUUACGGAUGCUUAUUGUAUUCCCUGCCGCGUACUUCUUCAGGUUCAUGCCGCGCGCUUCUAACCACAGAGGGCGGCGGUGGCAAGACGAGGCUGGCGAGUUACAUGUAGUAUUUAUAGUGCAGAUUUCACUCCAGCUUCAACUUCAUCGUGUCAUCACUUUAACACAGUGGUUUUUCUCUUAAAACGCUUUGUUCUAUAAAAAUUAUUUUCAAAGGCCACAGAUUAGCCGAGUUCCCACGACUGUUUUCCUCAAUGAUGGUGCAAAAAAAUUGUUAAACUAUCACGAGCAUCACGAAGACAUCCUUGAGAAACCCAGUAACCUCCACUAGAAACUGUUGAGAGUAGUCAAGAUAGACACCGAAAUGUUUGAGAGUAUGGUUCAAUGCAGGCGACCCGUAAGGAGUCGAGAAUGUCUGAAUUGCUCUCUGAACCAGCGAAUAACACUCCUCCAACCCGCGUCGCCGUCCCUGGUACUCCCCUCACUCUCCCCUUCCACAACCCCUCCCUCCCUCCCCAGUCCCACCGUACUAUCGUCCACGGAACUUAUAAACACUGCUCGCUCGUGUUCCUCUCUUCUGUGUUUCCCGCGGCAGCUACCACCCCGUCUGCCUCAACUCCUUUGUCUUGACCUUAGCACAGUAAUUUACAAGCUGCAUCAAGAAAAAAUGUAUCGUAUUUAUAGAGCUUGUCCAAAAAAAGGAGGUCGGAUAAAUUGGCUAACUCGCAACUCGCGCCGGUUCGCUCCAGCCCUCAGAACUUGGCUCUCAGUCUUCGACGCGCCGGGUAGCGAUGAAGUUGGCGGUGCGGGGUGGCUGGCCAGGCGAGUGUCCGCGUGAUGGAUAGACACACACUCUCGAGGAUGACAUAACCUGCCGCCAGUGACUAUGCCGCUUUGGAAGUUCAGGAUUGUGUUACCAAAAUUACUUCCUGAAAACAAGUUUAUAUUCUGUUCUUUAAUAUCCUAACGAUGUAAUAUAGAAAUAAUACUACUUGCUAAUCAGAAAAGUUGUUAUCAGGGCAAGUUUGAAUCUAUGAGCGAGAGAUAAGACCCGCAGUAUGAGUGAAGGCACCAGCGAGUGUUAACGCGCGCCUCUCAUGGUGACGAAACUUGAGUGCUAGUGAAGAAUUAGGAAUUGAAAAGGAAGAGAAGAGUGUUGAGGUGUGUGUGAACGAUGGGAGGCAGCGGGUGGGCGGUGGCGCCAGGAAGGGCAGGUGUGUGCACCGCGUGGUGGCUGCUGUGGCUACUGCUGCUGCUGCUGCUGUGUGUCCUCGCGCAAGGUACGUCUUGGAGUCUCGGCUGCAGACGGCGUGAAGUAAUGGAAAUCAAUGGGCAGUAGUAUUCACGGGCCAACACACAGCUGGUGCCGCGCCGCGCUUACUACUUGAGUACACCAGGGAGGAGAAAAAGUGGCCUGAAUGGUGCUUGUUUACGUUCCGCAUUGGUGUUUGCUGAGUGCACACUUUAUCAGCUGGGAACAGGACUUGUGUGUGUGUGUGUGUGUGUGUGUGUGUGUGUGUGUGUGUGUGUGUGUGUGUGUGUGUUUGUGUGUGUGUGUGUGUAUGUAUGUGUGCCGUGCGUACCUGUCUGCCUUUUCAACAAACUUAAUUGUCAUGUUUGUGUGUACGCGUAAAGAUUUCCGUGCAAGGUUCUAAAAAUUAAAAACUUACUUCACGUGAUAGACUUCGUGGUGUGAUUAAAGAUGUUUGAAAACUGUUCAUAUUUUUCACUUGUAAUAAUUUUUGUACAACACGUCCAGGUCACUCGGUUACUCGCGAACUUUCUGAAGCCUUCCUUUCGUGUACGUUUCCUGAGGGACUUCCUGCUUCCCCUCAGUGUUGUUUGAGGCGCCGUGCACGCAGCGCCGCGCCACCAUCCCUCACUCCACUUUCGUGCAACGUUGCUAAUUUUUUCUCCCACUAGCCAGCAGGUUUUGUCAGGCCGCGGGCGUCCUCAUCACUGGAGACGGGGCUGCGAAAGACAUGAAAGAAUAUCCUGACAUUAACUCCAUUAUUUGCUCGAGUCAAGUAAGGGAAACUACACGUCGUUUAAAAUUACUGCCAUCUGUAAUUCUCACUGCUAAGAUUGUUCUAUGUCGGCAUUUAGAGCACGGUGAAAAUGUGAUAAGUUUGCUUGUCCACACACACACACAUACAAAAAAAAAAAAGAGAACAAGACAUUAAUUUCGUCUCUUCUUGGCUACAGAAGAGCGUAAGAGACUGGUACAAAAGUAAGUAUCUGAAAUUUACAGAUGACGGGAACAAAAAACUUAUCUGACAAUGAAAUGGAUAAAACGUACAUUUUUUUCAAUACGAGUAUAGUUGAAUAAAGAACUUUUUUUUUUGUUGUUAUUGCACACGUAUGAUCAGUUAACUCUGCGGGCAAAAAAAGAAAAAAAACUUUAGGGUAACUUAAGUGGUAUAAAGAGAUAUUUGAUUCCAUGUAUAUGUAGACACAGCUGUUAGAUUUUGCUUCACAUGAAAGACAAAAUGAAUGCCCAUGAAAGUAAAACUGUUAACGAACAUUCACGAAAAAAAAAAAUAAUACCAAAGAGUAAAAGAAAGAAUAUGUAAAACGAUGCUUCUUAAUCUGCGUCAGAUGAAUAUUGCAGAAAACUAAAAUGUCAGUUUUGUUGAGGGUUGUUUGUGUGAAGGUGAGGCGGAGAUGAGAGAGGGGGAAGGGAGAGGUGAGGGAGAAGGGAGCAGGUGACUUGAUGAGGAAGUGGAGAGGGAGUGGAGGCAAGUUAUGGCCAAUCAAACAUAAUGUAAUGGUUGAUAUGUCAUAGCUAAGGUGUUGUUAUUGCCUGAGAUCGAAGCCGGAGAGAGAGAGAGAGAGAGAGAGAGAGAGAGAGAGAGAGAGAGAGAGAGAGAGAGAGAGAGAGAGAGAGAGAGAGAGAGAACACGAUUUAUUGGCAGCAUUCCUCAGGUAUCGGCAACAUAAAGACUAAGUGAAUCAAAUAAGUCAGUACUCCAUUUCCUUGCCUCGCUUCAUCUCACGUAUGUAAUAAUAAUGACCAGGCUCUCUCUCACUCUCUCUCUCUCUCUCUCUCUCUCUCUCUCUCUCUCUCUCUCUCUCUCUCUCUUGGAAAUCAGAAAAAAAAAACAAGUAAAUAUCCGCCUCAACAUGAACAGAACUACACUACAAAGAAGAACAGUGAAAACAAAGCACAUUUUAAAUUUUUCCUUCAUUUCUAUUAAAUUUGUGUGGUCUGUGAACUGUGCUGUGACCUGCUUUUAACUCUCUCUCUCUCUCUCUCUCUCUCUCUCUCUCUCUCUCUCUCUCUCUCUCUCUCUCUCUCUCUCUCUCUCUCUCUCUCUCUCUCUAUCUGUUUUAUUUUUCUUUUCUUUCUUCUUCUUCUUGUUCUUCUUGUUCUUCUUGUUGUUCUUGUUCUUCUUGUUCUUGUUCUUCUUCUUCUCCUCCUCUAAUACCGAGAUACUGUCCUCCUAAGUAACAAAUUGCAAUAAAAAAUUCCUCAUUGUUUACCUAUGAAAUGUUGCUUUAAUGAGGUUGAUGCUCGUUGCCAAGGUACAAAUAAAAACAACAGAAGUCAUAGUUUUAUUUUUUUAAUCCCCUUUCUCUUUUCUGUAAAACCACAUUGCAUUUCCUCCAUAGAUCAUUGUAUUUUUUUUUCCUUGCUGGUUUUGAAUGUAAGAAGCAGUGGGUGGGUGGGGAGGAGCCUUUUGCCAGUGCUAUCAUGCUUUAUGCUGUGUAGAUAAUACAGUCUCUACAAACACCUGAGUGAGGACUACUAGUGGUCUGAGUUUUUCUGCAUUUCUUCUGUAUUCUUGUUUCUUCUUCUCCUCUUCCAUCUCCCCAUCCCUCUCGUCUCCCCCGGAAGUGUAGAGAGGGAGAGUGUCACAAGAAAUUCUAGUGGACGUCAAUAUCAGGCUGUGAUAAGAAAAAAGGCUUGAUAGGGACUGAAAGUGGUUGGUCAGGAAGAGGAGCGAGACACCGAGAAAUGGACGAAGGGAGAGGAGAAGAGGAGGGGGCACAGGUGAGAGGGGAGGAUGAGAGUGAGAGUUUAGGAGGGUGAUGGAGAUGUGUGUGGGGAGGAGGGAGAGACAGAGAGGAGGGUAGGAGAGGAGGGUAUGAAAUGAAAGGGUAUGUGGAGAUGAGUGAUGACCAGUGAAGAGAAGAGGAGGAGGAGGAGGAGAAGGAGAAGGACUGGAAAGAAGAGGGGAAGGAUUGAGACGAUUCGAGAGCAAUGUAAAUAAAGGAGAAGAAAGAAUAUGAAAAUAAUUGAGGGGAGAAGAGUUAAGUUUAUGAAAAAAAAAAUAGUUGAAGAAAUGAAAUACGAAUAUGAGAGAAAAGGAAGUAAGAAAAGGAGAAAGAAAAAUGAAAGAUAAAUAAAAAAAAGAGGGAAAAGAAAAAUCUGAAAGAAAGAGGAAGAAGAAGCAAGGAGAAAAAAAAAUGAAAUAGGAAGGAGAACAAGCAAAGAGAAAAACAAAAUGAAGAAAAUAUGAAAGAGCAAAAUAAUAGGAGAAAAAACAAAGAAGGAAAAGGAGAUAAAUGACUGGUAAUAAAAGGAAGGAUGAAGUAAAGGGGAACAGGAAAGAACAUAGUAGUAGUUAUGCCUUACUUCAGUGCAAUACAAUUCAGUGCAAUACUACAUCAAAUACCUAAAUAUGUUCAUCUUUCUUAUUUUGGUCAGAAAUACAAUAAAGUUAAAAAAAAAACAAAAAAAAACAGGCAUGUGCAGAGAGAGAGAGAGAGAGAGAGAGAGAGAGAGAGAGAGAGAGAGAGAGAGAGAGAGAGAGAGAGAGACCUACCGACCAACCUAACCUACGAACAUCACAGCUUAAUUUCCUUCCACAGAGAGGUUCGGUUCAGAUCAUAAGAAUAAGAGAAGAUUAAUUUGCGUUUUUCACACGCGAAAUAAAUUAGGGCGAGGCUGCCCGUGAUGGCUUCAAAUGUGACCACGAGAGAGGCUGAUGAGUUCUUGGAAGGCGCCUUGAGAGAGAGAGAGAGGAGGGGGAGGGAGCGUAUCGUGUGGCCUUUCCUGACACCCACCACUGGCAAUUUGAGAACGCGUACUCCCCUUUCUCUCUCUCUCUCUCUCUCUCUCUCUCUCUCUCUCUCUCUCUCUCUCUCUCUCUCUCUCUCUCUCUCUCUCUCUCUCUCUCUCCAGCUCCCGAGGCGUGGCGAGGCGUGGAAGGGAUGAGUUGUGUGUGUGUGUGUGUGUGUCCAGAGAGAGAGAGAGAGAGAGAGAGAGAGAGAAAGAGAGAGAGAGAGAGAGAGAGAGGGUAAGCGGCAGAUAAACAUAUAAACAAACACAUAGACAAACAGAUAGUUAAGCAAACAAACAGACAGACAGACAGACAGACACGCAGACAAGUAAAAAUGAUCACAAAACACACAUCAGUUCACCAGCUUGCUGCACGUGCUCCUCAGUGUCAGGAAGGCGAAAGAUGACGGUCGUGGUUACAUUGUUAAAGAGUUCCCUGUCACGCUGCAUAACAAGGUGACGCCAUUGAUAGCAAACUGAUGCGGCUAAAUUAACUUUUUAUUUUAUUUUUCUUCUCAUUGGUGAAAGCUGUGAUCAAUAUUAAGUGGUCGAGUGUGCCAGUGCUAUUUGUUGUUGAUGGUUUCCUCAGCAAAGAGAUUAUUACACGACAAAGUGCGCGCUUACUCCUCCUAUCCUUUUUUUUUUAUCUUUUACAUUAAAACUGAGUGAAAAAAAAAAGAUUAUCACAUGGCAAAAUGUACUCUUACUUCCUGCGUUUCCCCCUUUUUUUCUCUUUUACAUAAGAACUGAGUGAGAUAACGUACUCCAGUGAACCAGAGCUAUUCCUUGUUGGUUCUUUGGCUCAGGGACGAGGUUAUUAAGAGACGAGAUGAAUUUAUUGCCAUGCGCAUUGUCGCGGUUUCUUGUUUCUCAACGCCGUGAAAAUUGAAUGAACUAGUAAGGUCAAGCGUACCAAACCCAGACUUGUUGACUCUUUGCUCCGGGAAGAAAAUAUUACUCGACAAAAUUUAUUUCUUACGACUUUAAGGUUGAUUCAUUCCCCCAGAAAUGAAUGGUUUGCUGCUUCUGAACGGACAAUGCAGUACAAGAAAAGCUCCUGAACCCUUUUUAAUUUACUCAUCUUAAUCUGUUAUUGCCCUUUUCUUGCCUCAUCUCUCGCCUUCUCCGUGUGAUGUACCAUUUUAUGCUACCUUCUACAUUGCCAGCUGUUUGGUUACCUUUAAUACCUUUUUAUUGGAUUUUGAUGCCACAUGAUUCUCCUCCUUCGUAAAUAUCAAGUCGAUCUCUUCCUCUCCUUUCGUCGCUUUUCUCCAUCCUCCUCGUCUUCCUUAAUUUCCUUCCCUUUCCUUCCCGCUGCUUUUUUUUUUUCUGCCGUCUGGUCAACCUGUCAGCAAUAAUCUUAAUGUAUUCACACACGAAGGGCAAAGUCUCGGCCCGUAAAUACCUCCUCUCAGGAAUCUUCAUAUACUGGCGAGAAUAUUCUAAAGUACAGUAAUAGUGACAAAAAAAUCUCAACAUCAAGUAAUAAAGGACAGACGAGUCACUUGCAGAUGAUUGGCUACAGAAUGCGUCCUCUCUCACCUGUGCUUUUGUUUACAUGAAUCUGGCCAAGGGUUUUAAAAGCAGAAAACGGGUACGCUAAUUUGUCGCUCCUAAGAAGGUUAAUUGGGAAAAAGAAGUGCUGGAAAAAUUGUUGGUUAUGGACAGGUGUUUAUUUCUGACUAAUUAACGAUAUCACCUGUGGUAUGAGAGAGAGAGAGAGAGAGAGAGAGAGAGAGAGAGAGAGAGAGAGAGAGAGAGAGAGAGAGAGAGAGAGAGAAGAAAUGAUGAAACAAAAGAUAAUGCGGGAGAAAGGAAAGAAAAAACGUUAGGCAGACAGCAAAAAAAAAAAAAAAGUGAUAAAAUAAAAUGAACAGCUGAUAGUAGUAGUGGUGGUGGCGGUGGCGGCGGCGGCCAGACACAAACACAGAAACCAAAUCAACAAACAUCAAGUCCAUCCAUCUCACAAAACUAUGAAAUAUGCCAAAGGAAAGCAAAACAUCACGCCACGGAGGGAGGGAAGGGAGAGGAGGCGUGCCCAAGACAACAGUGACAACAGCGACGGCCGAUUCCCCGCGACAACGAUCUGGCGAAGCUUUGUGAGGCGCGAGAGUAAUAGUCAGGUCACUGUUAGGGGAGCUUUCUCUCUCUCUCUCUCUCUCUCUCUCUCUCUCUCUCUCUCUCUCUCUCUCUCUCUCUCUCUCGUGUUUUUCUUCUUUUCCUUCCUUUCUCUCCAAUUUCUCAUUAUUUUUAACCUUUUUCGUCUUAUUUUCUUCCCUCAUCAUUUAACCUUCAAUUUUUUUUUUCUUUACCAGUCCAUUCUUCCUCUAUCUCCCUUCCUAGCUGCUUCUUCCCUUUAUCCUUCCCUUACAUCCAUUCCUCUUCUCCUUAUUCUGUGUCUUGUCUUUCCAUCCCAUCUGUCUGUUUCUCUCUUAUCUCUCGUUCGUUCCUUUCAUCCUUCUUCUCCCUCCUUUUCCUUUUCUCCUUACCCUGUGUCUUGUCUUUCCUUCCUAUCUCUCGUAUCGUUCUUAUCUCCCUCUCCCUUUCAGUGCAUCCUCGUCCUUCCCAGCCUCUCUUUCUUCCUCCAUACCUUCACUUCUCUCUUUACUCACAAGAUUCCUGGAACGUGUUAGCUCACCUCUCCCAGUCCCUCUCUUUCUCGACUCUUUUCCACCCUUCCAUUUCUUCUCCUCCUUCUCACUCUCACAAUACCCACACUUAAUCUUGUUCCCUCUUCACGUGGCUUACUUUAACUUGGCUUCAUUUACUUGUCCUUCAUCCUUCACCACUGCCACCACUGCUGACACUACCACCACCACCACCACCACCACCACCACUGCUGACACUACCGCCACCACCACCACCACCACCACCACCACUGACAGCUGUUCUUUUAUUUUUAUUUAUUUAUUUAUUUUUUUUUUGCCGACUUUUGCCGUACGAAUUUUUCUUUCUUUUUCCCGCAGUAUCUUUUGUUUCAUCUUUAUCUCUUCUGUUUUUUUGUCGUUUUUUCUUUUGUUUCUUUCUUUUUCUCUCGUUUUCUGUUAGUCAGUCAGUCAGCUAAUCAAUCAGUCUUUCUAUAUAUCUAUUCGUCUGUCUAUUUAUCUAUUUGUCUGUCUGUCUGUCUGUCUAUCUAUCCAUCUGUCUAUCUUUCUGUAUAUCUUUUUUUUUUUCUUAAAUGGAUGAAAAUCGUUUGUUUCCAUGGUAAGAGAGAAAAAUGGUGUUUAUUGCACUGAAAGUGAACUCUGUGUGUGUGUGUGUGUGUGUGUGUGUGUGUGUGUGUGUGUGUGUGUGUGUGUGUGUGUGUGUGUGUGUGUGUGUGUGUACUGAGUGGUGUAUUAUGCAUUUGUGAGUGUAUUUUUCACCUCUUGUCUCUGAUAAAAAGUGUAAUGUUGUUUAUAUUCAUUUCGUCGCGUCAUAUUUCGUGAUUAAGUCUUUCAUUAUUUUUUACGCUCACACUUUUUUUUAAAUUUUUUUAUUUUUUGUUCAUUCAUUUUCUGUUUUACAAAGGUCAUGCAUGCAAAUAAGUGUAAUUUUAGCUGCAGGUGAGUGUUCCAGGCUGUAUGUAGUGAAUCAAUCUCUCUCUCUCUCUCUCUCUCUCUCUCUCUCUCUCUCUCUCUCUCUCUCUCUCUCUCUCUCUCUCUCUCUCUCUCUCUCUCUCGAUAUUCUGUCUUUAUCCACCAUUUAUUGCUAAAUAUUAUAACUUUUCAGAAAAAUCGCUAUAUUCUUUAUAAAUACAUUCGGCAAUAAACUACUACUACUACUACUACUACUACUACUACUACUACUACUACUACUACCACCACCAUUCUCUCUCUCUCUCUCUCUCUCUCUCUCUCUCUCAUUAGAUUAACAGCAGCAUUUCGCACAGGUUUCAUAAUUAUAAACAGCUCGCGUUAAUCACGGGAUACGAGAAUGCCGUCUAUGUUCGCUAUUACGGAGCGUGAGUCUAUCUCCGUCAGUAAUUCCAUCCCUGGCUGCGUGGAUCAUACGUACUACUUGCUCUCUGGUCCCUCUGGCUAGGUUAGGUUAGUCCAUCUUUGUCCCCUGCUUUCCUUUUAUGAUUUUGCGCUGUUUAGUCGUAUAGAUUCUCUCGUGGCUUGCUUUUUUUCUUAAUGCAUCUUUCUUUUUUUUAUUUUCCUUUACUAUAAUCCCACAAAAUAUAAAUUCAUCAGUUUUUCUCUCUUUUUUUUUUUUUUUUUACCCACUACAAUUGAGAUGAGAUUUACGUAGCAUUCUUUUAUGUUUCACUUCCUUACUUACUCCUUGUCAGUCUUUUGUACUUAACCCUUCCUUUAUUAUGGUCCCACAAAAAAAAAAAAAAAAAAAUCCUUAUAAAUUCGCCUGUUUUUCUCUUCUCUUUCGUCCAUUACAUAGUGAGAUAAGAUUUACUUACUAUUCUUUUAUGUUUCACUUCCUUACCUCUUGUCUAUUUUUCGUCUUUAAUCUUCCCUUACUAUGAUUCCACAAAAUUUUCCUUAUAAAUUCACCUGUUUUUCUCUUUUCCCCUUCAACAUAUGCUGGGGUCAGAAUCACUAUCCUAUCCUAUUUUUCGUCCCUUUUAUUCCUCCUCCUCUUUAGUCUCCCUCCCUUGCCCCCUUACAGUGACAAGCAUUGAUAGUAGCCCCCUCUUAUCUUGUUGACAAAUAGCCCUUCGAUUCACUACCCUCCUCAUCCCUAUGUUCCUCUCCCCCUUCUCCCCAUACCUCCCCGUUCUCUCCCUUGUAUCUUCCUCGUAAAACAGCGGAAAUGGAAACAAAUUUGGAAAGGGAUCUGCAAUUUUCGAGCGGUAUUUAGGCCUAUGUUUAUCCAUCGAAUAGGCCGAGAAUGGGUAGGCCGCGGCUGCCUGGCUUCUUCAUCCGCUGCGCUGCUUGACAAAUGUGCGAGGCUUCUUGUAGUGAGGAGUUAAUGGGCCAAGAAAGAAAUAGAGGAGAAGUAAGAGGAGGAGGAGGAGUUAUAGGAGGGAGAAAGAGUAAGAGAGAAGGGAGGUGAAAGAGGAGCGAGUUAUUGUUUAUGAUAAGGAAGAGAAGGAGGAGGACGGACACAGAGAAGCAGGAAUAAUGAAGAAGGAGAGUGCCUGGAAUAAAUGAAUAUGGAAUGAGGGAAUACGAGGAAGGAUGAUGAUAAGACAGUAAGGGACAGAGAGAGAGAGAGAGAGAGAGAGAGAGAGAGAGAGAGAGAGAGAGAGAGAGAGAGAGAGAGAGAGAGAGAGAGAUUAAAGUGAUGCUAUAUAAAAGUUGCCUGACAAAAAAGGACGAAAGGAAGCUUGGGAAAAUAUGACCCUUGCAGCAUAAACAUAAAAAUAAUAUGAAAAUUAAGCCGAAAAAAAAAAAACGAAGAAAACUCAUGAAAAUGUGAUGAUGAAAGAAAAUGGUGAGUUAACUUAUAGAAGGUCACGCAAAAUGUUGUGAAAAUUAAUACAAAAGAAGUCUCCCCCCAAAAAAAAAACAGGAGGAACAAAAUGCUGCCUAAAACACGUACACAGAAAAAAAAGAGAGAAAUAAAAUAAAAGGAAAAAAGUAAAAAAAAAAAGAAAAGAAA